RNAcentral lists this ribosomal RNA (492 nucleotides) under uncultured bacterium. RNAcentral describes it as "partial 16S ribosomal RNA". It matches the Rfam family "Bacterial small subunit ribosomal RNA", at positions 29 to 507 of the family's 1533-position model. The record is from RNAcentral.
AGUGAACGCUGGCGGUAGGCCUAACACAUGCAAGUCGAACGGCAGCACAGUAAGAGCUUGCUCUUACGGGUGGCGAGUGGCGGACGGGUGAGGAAUACAUCGGAAUCUACUUUUUCGUGGGGGAUAACGUAGGGAAACUUACGCUAAUACCGCAUACGACCUACGGGUGAAAGCAGGGGAUCUUCGGACCUUGCGCGAUUGAAUGAGCCGAUGUCGGAUUAGCUAGUUGGCGGGGUAAAGGCCCACCAAGGCGACGAUGCGUAGCUGGUCUGAGGGGAUGAUCAGCCACACUGGAACUAAGACACGGUCCAGACUCCUACGGGAGGCAGCAGUGGGGAAUAUUGGACAAUGGGCGCAAGCCUGAUCCAGCCAUACCGCGUGGGUGAAGAAGGCCUUCGGGUUGUAAAGCCCUUUUGUUGGGAAAGAAAAGCAGCAGGUUAAUACCCCGCUGUUCUGACGGUACCCAAAGAAUAAGCACCGGCUAACUUCGUG